Molecule: ribosomal RNA, 253 nt
Filed under: uncultured bacterium
Lineage: Bacteria
Description: partial 16S ribosomal RNA
Rfam family: Bacterial small subunit ribosomal RNA
Source: RNAcentral
UACGUAGGGGGCAAGCGUUGUCCGGAAUCAUUGGGCGUAAAGAGCGUGUAGGCGGCCCGAUAAGUCCGCCGUGAAAGUCCAGGGCUCAACCCUGGAAUGCCGGUGGAAACUGUCGGGCUGGAGUCCGGAAGAGGCGAGUGGAAUUCCUGGUGUAGCGGUGAAAUGCGCAGAUAUCAGGAGGAACACCAAUGGCGAAGGCAGCUCGCUGGGACGGUACUGACGAUGAGACGCGAAAGCGUGGGGAGCGAACAGG